Molecule: ribosomal RNA, 252 nt
Filed under: uncultured bacterium
Lineage: Bacteria
Description: partial 16S ribosomal RNA
Rfam family: Bacterial small subunit ribosomal RNA
Source: RNAcentral
UACAGAGGUCUCGAGCGUUAGGCGGAAUCACUGGGCUUAAAGCGUGUGUAGGCGGAUCGUUAAGUACCUUGUGAAAUCCCACGGCUUAACCUGGAACUGCUUGGUAUACUGGCGGUCUUGAGCCAGCUAGGGGCUACCGGAACAAAUGGUGGAGCGGUGAAAUGCGUAGAUAUCAUUUGGAACGCCAAUGGUGAAAACAGGUAGCUGGGGCUGUGCUGACGCUGAGACACGAAAGCCAGGGGAGCAAACGGG